RNAcentral lists this ribosomal RNA (2107 nucleotides) under activated sludge metagenome. RNAcentral describes it as "bacterial LSU rRNA". It matches the Rfam family "Bacterial large subunit ribosomal RNA", at positions 829 to 2925 of the family's 2925-position model. The record is from RNAcentral.
CUAAACAAACUUGGAAAUAGCUGGUUCUCCCCGAAAACUAUUUAGGUAGUGCCUCAUGUAUCACUCUCGGGGGUAGAGCACUGUAAUGGUUGGGGGGGUCAUUGCGAUCUACCCCGCCAUAGCAAACUCCGAAUACCGAGAAGUGCGAGCAUGGGAGACAGACGGUGGGUGCUAACGUCCAUCGUCAAGAGGGAAACAACCCAGACCGCCAGCUAAGGCCCCCAAUGCGUGGCUAAGUGGAAAACGAGGUGGGAAGGCAUAGACAGCCAGGAGGUUGGCUUAGAAGCAGCCAUCCUUUAAAGAAAGCGUAAUAGCUCACUGGUCGAGUCGUCCUGCGCGGAAGAUGUAACGGGGCUCAAGCCACGAGCCGAAGCUGCGGAUAUGUCGUAAGACAUAUGGUAGGGGAGCGUUCUGUAAGUCUGCGAAGGUGUCUGGUAACGGAUGCUGGAGAUAUCAGAAGUGCGAAUGCUGACAUGAGUAGCGAUAAAGCGGGUGAAAGGCCCGCUCGCCGAAAGCCCAAGGUUUCCUACGCAACGUUCAUCGGCGUAGGGUGAGUCGGCUCCUAAGGCGAGGCCGAAAGGCGUAGUCGAUGGGAAACAGGUCAAUAUUCCUGUACCAGUCCAUGAUGCGAUGGGGGGACGGAGAAGGUUAUAGCAGCCGGGUGUUGGACGUCCCGGUUUAAGCAGGUAGGCGUGCUGCGUAGGCAAAUCCGCGCGGCUUAGCCGAGAUGUGAUGACGAGGAGCCACGUGCUCUGAAGUGCUAGAUACCACGCUUCCAGGAAAAGCCUCUAAGCUUCAGUCAUGGAUUGACCGUACCGCAAACCGACACAGGUGGGCAGGAUGAAAAUUCUCAGGCGCUUGAGAGAACCCAGGAGAAGGAACUCGGCAAAUUGAUACCGUAACUUCGGGAGAAGGUAUGCCCCUAGUAGGUAAAGUCCCUCGCGGAUGGAGCCCAACGGGGUCGCAGAGAAUCGGUGGCUGCGACUGUUUAAUAAAAACACAGCACUCUGCAAACACGAAAGUGGACGUAUAGGGUGUGACGCCUGCCCGGUGCCGGAAGGUUAAGUGAUGGGGUGCAAGCUCUUGAUCGAAGCCCCGGUAAACGGCGGCCGUAACUAUAACGGUCCUAAGGUAGCGAAAUUCCUUGUCGGGUAAGUUCCGACCUGCACGAAUGGCGUAACGAUGGCCACACUGUCUCCUCCUGAGACUCAGCGAAGUUGAAAUGUUUGUGAAGAUGCAAUCUCCCCGCGGCUAGACGGAAAGACCCCAUGAACCUUUACUGUAGCUUUGCAUUGGACUUUGACGGGACUUGUGUAGGAUAGGUGGGAGGCUAUGAAACCGGGACGCCAGUUCCGGUGGAGCCAUCCUUGAAAUACCACCCUGGUGUCGUCGAGGUUCUAACCCAGGCCUGUGAAUCCAGGUCGGGGACCGUGCAUGGUGGGCAGUUUGACUGGGGCGGUCUCCUCCCAAAAGGUAACGGAGGAGUACGAAGGUCACCUAGGUACGGUCGGACAUCGUACUGAUAGUGCAAUGGCAAAAGGUGGCUUGACUGCGAGACCCACAAGUCGAGCAGGUGCGAAAGCAGGUCAUAGUGAUCCGGUGGUUCUGUAUGGAAGGGCCAUCGCUCAACGGAUAAAAGGUACUCCGGGGAUAACAGGCUGAUACCGCCCAAGAGUUCAUAUCGACGGCGGUGUUUGGCACCUCGAUGUCGGCUCAUCACAUCCUGGGGCUGUAGUCGGUCCCAAGGGUAUGGCUGUUCGCCAUUUAAAGUGGUACGUGAGCUGGGUUUAAAACGUCGUGAGACAGUUUGGUCCCUAUCUGCCGUGGGCGCUGGAAGUUUGAGAGGGCCUGCUCCUAGUACGAGAGGACCGGAGUGGACGCACCGCUGGUGUACCGGUUGUGACGCCAGUCGCAUCGCCGGGUAGCUAUGUGCGGAAGAGAUAACCGCUGAAAGCAUCUAAGCGGGAAACUCGCCUCAAGAUGAGACUUCCCCGGGGCCUCGAGCCCCCUGAAGGGUCGUUGAAGACCACAACGUUGAUAGGCCGGGUGUGUAAGCGUGGCAACACGUUCAGCUAACCGGUACUAAUUGCCCGUGUGGCUUGAUCCU